RNAcentral lists this long non-coding RNA (254 nucleotides) under Solanum tuberosum (potato). RNAcentral's name for it is "long non-coding RNA (STUB_LNC001928)". Lineage: Eukaryota; Viridiplantae; Streptophyta; Magnoliopsida; Solanales; Solanaceae. The record is from RNAcentral.
CUUCUUUGAAUUUACUUUCAUGAGAUAGAAAAAAUGAAUUUUUUUUUAAUAUAUUCUAGUGCUGGAUUUUUUGUUGAUAAAAUCUUUAUUAGUUUCUGGCUCCUAAUUUCUAUUAGAAGAGCUUGUUGAAUUCUGGGAGAUAUACAUAUAUAUCUAUAUAUAUCAGAUAAAAUAUCCUUAAGGAUAGUGUCUAACACGUCUCAAAUUUUAAUAAAAAAAAAGAUAUUUUUCGUAAAUUUUUCAAUCAAUAUAAC